Molecule: ribosomal RNA, 440 nt
Filed under: uncultured bacterium
Lineage: Bacteria
Description: partial 16S ribosomal RNA
Rfam family: Bacterial small subunit ribosomal RNA
Source: RNAcentral
CCUACGGGCGACAGCAGUGGGGGAUAUUGCACAAUGGGGGAAACCCUGAUGCAGCGACGCCGCGUGUGGGAAGACGGUCCUCUGGAUUGUAAACCACUGUCCCCAGGGACGAAGAUGACGGUACCUGGGGAGGAAGCUCCGGCUAACUACGUGCCAGCAGCCGCGGUAAUACGUAGGGAGCGAGCGUUGUCCGGAAUUACUGGGUGAAAAGGGAGCGUAGGCGGGACUGCAAGUUGGGUGUCAAAUCUACCGGCUCAACCGGUAGCCGCACUCAAAACUGCAGUUCUUGAGUGAAGUAGAGGCAGGCGGAAUUCCUAGUGUAGCGGUGAAAUGCGUAGAUAUUAGGAGGAACACCAGUGGCGAAGGCAGCCUCCUGGGACGCAACUGACGCUCAUACACGAAAGCGUGGGGAGCAAACAGGAUUAGAUACCCGGGUAGUC